This 585-nucleotide ribosomal RNA is filed under the name uncultured bacterium. RNAcentral describes it as "partial 16S ribosomal RNA". It matches the Rfam family "Bacterial small subunit ribosomal RNA", at positions 355 to 1375 of the family's 1533-position model. The record is from RNAcentral.
UGGGGAAUUUUGGACAAUGGGCGCAAGCCUGAUCCAGCCAUGCCGCGUGCGGGAAGAAGGCCUUCGGGUUGUAAACCGCUUUUGUCAGGGAAGAAAUCUUCUGAGUUAGUACCUCGGGAGGAUGACGGUACCUGAAGAAUAAGCACCGGCUAACUACGUGCCAGCAGCCGCGGUAAUACGUAGGGUGCAAGCGUUAAUCGGAAUUACUGGGCGUAAAGCGUGCGCAGGCGGUUUUGUAAGACAGAGGUGAAAUCCCCGGGCUCAACCUGGGAACUGCCUUUGUGACUGCAAGGCUUGAGUGCGGCAGAGGGGGAUGGAAUUCCGCGUGUAGCAGUGAAAUGCGUAGAUAUGCGGAGGAACACCGAUGGCGAAGGCAAUCCCCUGGGCCUGCACUGACGCUCAUGCACGAAAGCGUGGGGAGCAAACAGGAUUAGAUACCCUGGUAGUCCACGCCCUAAACGAUGUCAACUGGUUGUUGGGAAGGUUCCUUCUCAGUAACGUAGCUAACGCGUGAAGUUGACCGCCUGGGGAGUACGGCCGCAAGGUUGAAACUCAAAUGAAUUGACGGGGUCAUAGCUGUUUCCU